RNAcentral lists this ribosomal RNA (445 nucleotides) under uncultured bacterium. RNAcentral's name for it is "partial 16S ribosomal RNA". It matches the Rfam family "Bacterial small subunit ribosomal RNA", at positions 354 to 796 of the family's 1533-position model. The record is from RNAcentral.
GUGAGGAAUAUUGGUCAAUGGGCGGGAGCCUGAACCAGCCAAGUCGCGUGAAGGAAGAAGGAUCUAUGGUUCGUAAACUUCUUUUGCAGGGGAAUAAAGUGCAGGACGUGUCCUGUUUUGUAUGUACCCUGAGAAUAAGGAUCGGCUAACUCCGUGCCAGCAGCCGCGGUAAUACGGAGGAUCCGAGCGUUAUCCGGAUUUAUUGGGUUUAAAGGGUGCGUAGGUGGGUUGAUAAGUCAGCGGUGAAAGUUUGCAGCUUAACUGUAAAAAUGCCGUUGAAACUGUCGGACUUGAGUGUAAAUGAGGUAGGCGGAAUGCGUGGUGUAGCGGUGAAAUGCAUAGAUAUCACGCAGAACUCCGAUUGCGAAGGCAGCUUACUAAGCUACAACUGACACUGAAGCACGAAAGCGUGGGGAUCAAACAGGAUUAGAAACCCUGGUAGUCC